Molecule: transfer RNA, 65 nt
Filed under: Dipodomys ordii (Ord's kangaroo rat)
Lineage: Eukaryota; Metazoa; Chordata; Mammalia; Rodentia; Heteromyidae
Rfam family: tRNA
About the family: Transfer RNA (tRNA) molecules are approximately 80 nucleotides in length. Their secondary structure includes four short double-helical elements and three loops (D, anti-codon, and T loops).
Source: Rfam by way of RNAcentral
GGUGGCUCAGUGGGAGAGCACUUGCCUUGCAUGCAUGAGGCCCUGGGUUCGAUUCCACAGCACCA